UACGUAGGGUGCGAGCGUUGUCCGGAAUUACUGGGCGUAAAGAGCUCGUAGGUGGUUUGUCGCGUUGUCCGUGAAAACUCACAACUCAAUUGUGGGCGUGCGGGCGAUACGGGCAGACUGGAGUACUGCAGGGGAGACUGGAAUUCCUGGUGUAGCGGUGGAAUGCGCAGAUAUCAGGAGGAACACCGGUGGCGAAGGCGGGUCUCUGGGACGGUACUGACGCUGAGACGCGAAAGCGUGGGGAGCAAACAGG
RNAcentral lists this ribosomal RNA (253 nucleotides) under uncultured bacterium. RNAcentral describes it as "partial 16S ribosomal RNA". It matches the Rfam family "Bacterial small subunit ribosomal RNA", at positions 524 to 776 of the family's 1533-position model. The record is from RNAcentral.